UACGUAGGGUGCGAGCGUUAAUCGGAAUUACUGGGCGUAAAGCGUGCGCAGGCGGUUCGCUAAGACCGAUGUGAAAUCCCCGGGCUUAACCUGGGAACUGCAUUGGUGACUGGCGGGCUGGAGUAUGGCAGAGGGGGGUAGAAUUCCACGUGUAGCAGUGAAAUGCGUAGAGAUGUGGAGGAAUACCGAUGGCGAAGGCAGCCCCCUGGGCCAAUACUGACGCUCAUGCACGAAAGCGUGGGGAGCAAACAGG
RNAcentral lists this ribosomal RNA (253 nucleotides) under uncultured Burkholderia sp. RNAcentral's name for it is "partial 16S ribosomal RNA". It matches the Rfam family "Bacterial small subunit ribosomal RNA", at positions 524 to 776 of the family's 1533-position model. Lineage: Bacteria; Pseudomonadati; Pseudomonadota; Betaproteobacteria; Burkholderiales; Burkholderiaceae. The record is from RNAcentral.